GUACUUCCCAUCUUUUGACAGCACCAUAUGCCAAGGGUUUGUAAGGAGAGUAGCAGAUCAGAAACCUUUGACUAGAGAAGAUGUGAAUGGAGACAGAUUCUGAUGAUGCCAUCAUUGGGAGGCAGGAUGACUAUAAGACACUAAUUCCUCAUCCAUAAAGAUUUCUACAAGUGGUUCAUUUGAAAUGAAUACAGAUUUCAUUACAAGACGUGUGCAUGGUGCAACAUCCUGGAUGGUGUGUAGUAUGUUUGUUAACAUGUGAAGCCUACGUGUAUUUCAGGGAGUUGUCUCCCAUGUUAAGAUCAGUAAUGGCGGAUAUACAAUGCAGUAUGCUGUCUGGUCAUCAACAGAGAGUUUAGACACCCGUAUUUCUACCAAUCACCUCUGUAACCUUUGUUGUGUUCAUCAGAUAGAUUCACCAGAUGCAGCUGCUCCAUCUCCAUCACUGGUGAAAUGGGAAAUGACUAGUGGACGGUCAUCACUUUGUAACUCACCAUUUUGCAGCCCAUCUCUUCUCAUCUUCAGUGGUGGCCUCUGGAGGAAUGGUUGCAGUGCAGUCUUUGUGUCUUAGGCAGAUAACUUCCUUUCCUUUGCUUCUCAGUUUUUAGCUCAACUCAACGAAAUUGGGGAACCUUAUGUGAUACCCUCAGCAUUGGUGUUGGUGUCCCAGGUUAAAGUUUUUGGAGCAGAGUUCUUUUUAACUAUGAAAAUGAAGAACUGGAGAGGAUCUUGAUUGAUUUUUCUUGGUAAGUUUGGAAGUUUAUUCCUUCU
Saccostrea echinata is the source of this 771-nucleotide long non-coding RNA. RefSeq lists it as uncharacterized. The record is from RefSeq and is a predicted model, not a curated record. The transcript has 7 exons. NCBI's taxonomy places the organism in Eukaryota, Metazoa, Mollusca, Bivalvia, Ostreida, Ostreidae.